AACGAACGCUGGCGGCAUGCCUAACACAUGCAAGUCGAACGAGACCUUCGGGUCUAGUGGCGAACGGGUGCGUAACGCGUAAGAACCUACCUAUCGGAGGGGGAUAACAUUGGGAAACUGUUGCUAAUACCCCAUAAAAGCUGAGGAGUGAAAGGUUAAAACCGCCGAUAGAGGGGCUUGCGUCUGAUUAGCUAGUUGGUGGGGGUAAUGGCCUCCCAAGGCCACGAUCAGUAGCUGGUCUGAGAGGACGAUCAGCCACACUGGGACUGAGACACGGCCCAGACUCCUACGGGAGGCAGCAGUGGGGAAUUUUUGGACAAUGGGGGGCAACCCUGACGGAGCAAUACCGCGUGAGGGAAGAAUGCCUAUGGGUUGUAAACCUCUUUUUUUCAGGGAGGAUAAAAUGACGUGUACCUGAAGAAUAAGCAUCGGCUAACUCCGUG
RNAcentral lists this ribosomal RNA (443 nucleotides) under uncultured bacterium. Its description in RNAcentral is "bacterial SSU rRNA". It matches the Rfam family "Bacterial small subunit ribosomal RNA", at positions 29 to 507 of the family's 1533-position model. The record is from RNAcentral.